RNAcentral lists this ribosomal RNA (301 nucleotides) under uncultured bacterium. RNAcentral's name for it is "partial 16S ribosomal RNA". It matches the Rfam family "Bacterial small subunit ribosomal RNA", at positions 509 to 807 of the family's 1533-position model. The record is from RNAcentral.
CAGUAGCCACGGUAAUACGUAGGGUGCGAGCGUUAAUCGGAAUUACUGGGCGUAAAGCGUGCGCAGGCGGUUUUGUAAGACAGGCGUGAAAUCCCCGGGCUCAACCUGGGAAUGGCGCUUGUGACUGCAAAGCUAGAGUGCGGCAGAGGGGGAUGGAAUUCCGCAUGUAGCAGUGAAAUGCGUAGAUAUGCGGAGGAACACCGAUGGCGAAGGCAAUCCCCUGGGCCUGCACUGACGCUCAUGCACGAAAGCGUGGGGAGCAAACAGGAUUAGAUACCCCCGUAGUCCCUGUCUCUUAUAC